Molecule: long non-coding RNA, 424 nt
Organism: Cicer arietinum (chickpea)
Lineage: Eukaryota; Viridiplantae; Streptophyta; Magnoliopsida; Fabales; Fabaceae
Source: RefSeq, a predicted model, not a curated record
UUAGGUUUUUAUUAUAUAAGGUGAUCAAACAAUUGUCUACUUGUCACAUAAAAAGGUAGAACACAAUGGCUAAAACUCUCAAGGUUGUUUACACUGUGAUUCUUUUAGUGUCUCUAUUUCUUCUUUUAAUCGCCGCUAGUGCAAAACAGAGAUGUAAGUCACGCGUUGAUUGUAAAACAUAUCCGUGUCCCAUUCCUAAAGUCAAGAGUUGCCUUAAUGGUUAUUGUAAAUGUGUUAGAAUUUGGUGAUGACAAGAAAUCAAUGGAGCUUGUGGAAUAGAGAUCAUUCGUUGAUAACUUGAAGCACUAAGCAGUUGUGGUUAACUUACUUUUAAGAAGCAUUAUACAAUAGAAAAAAUAAAAGACAUAUAUAUGUAUCAAAAUAAUUAAAUAUAAAUACACUUUUAACAAUUUAAAGAUUUCAA